This 412-nucleotide ribosomal RNA is filed under the name uncultured bacterium. Its description in RNAcentral is "bacterial SSU rRNA". It matches the Rfam family "Bacterial small subunit ribosomal RNA", at positions 389 to 793 of the family's 1533-position model. The record is from RNAcentral.
CAGCAAUGCCGCGUGUGUGAAGAAGGCCUUCGGGUCGUAAAGCACUUUUACCGGGAGCGAAAUACCAUUGGCUAAUAACCGGUGGGGCUGACGGUACCCGAGGAAUAAGCGCCGGCUAACUUCGUGCCAGCAGCCGCGGUAAUACGAAGGGUGCAAGCGUUAAUCGGAAUUACUGGGCGUAAAGGGUGCGUAGGCGGUUUGUUAAGUCUGUCGUGAAAUCCCCGGGCUCAACCUGGGAAUGGCGAUGGAAACUGGCAGGCUAGAGUGUGUCAGAGGAUGGUGGAAUUCCCGGUGUAGCGGUGAAAUGCGUAGAGAUCGGGAGGAACAUCAGUGGCGAAGGCGGCCAUCUGGGACAACACUGACGCUGAAGCACGAAAGCGUGGGGAGCAAACAGGAUUAGAUACCCUGGUAA